This is a long non-coding RNA of Pipistrellus kuhlii (Kuhl's pipistrelle), 297 nucleotides long. RefSeq lists it as uncharacterized. The record is from RefSeq and is a predicted model, not a curated record. NCBI's taxonomy places the organism in Eukaryota, Metazoa, Chordata, Mammalia, Chiroptera, Vespertilionidae. The transcript is spliced from 3 exons.
AAAAAGAUGGGUCUUUGAUGUUCCAGCAAGUGCCCAUGGUGGAAAUCGAUGGGAUGAAGCUGGCACAGACCAGAGCCAUUCUCAACUACAUUGCUGCCAAAUACAACCUGUAUGGAAAAGACAUAAAGGAGAGACCCCUGAUUGAUAUAUAUUCAGAAGGUAUUGCAGAUUUGAAUGAAAUGAUCCUGCGUUUACCAAUAUUCCCACCUGAUGAAUAAGAUGCCAAGACGACCCAGAUCAGAGAGAGAACAACAAAUCGUUAUUUCCCAGCCUUUGAAAAGGUGUUGAAGAGCAAAG